This 607-nucleotide long non-coding RNA is filed under the name Pongo abelii (Sumatran orangutan). RNAcentral's name for it is "lincRNA". The record is from RNAcentral. Lineage: Eukaryota; Metazoa; Chordata; Mammalia; Primates; Hominidae.
UUGAGGAAAGGAGAGGCUAAAAAUUCUGCCUUCCCUCCUGAAGCCAGCCAGGCUCUUUAUGGUGGGGGAAGGACAGAUUUAUUUAUUUGCACUCUUCUGAAAUAAAAGUUCUCCAUCCUCCCUCCUGGCUGCAGUUGGGAGGGCCCCGUGGGUGGGCUCUGUGAUGUGGCACACGGUACCCAGGGCAGGGCUGGGAAGGGUGGGGUGCAGGGGCCUCCCUGGCUGCAGGGCCCACCCACCAGGUGCCUGGGCUUACUGCACUAAGCAGGCAUGGGCUCCGGCCCCCCUCACUGUCCCUUCCAGGCCCAGCCUGUGUUCAGGACCCAGGACAGGGUCUGACCAGCAGGCCCCAGGCCUCCAAGGCGUUCUCAGCCUCUUGAGUGAGUGUGAUGAUGAGCACUCAUGGAGCUUCCUGCAUGCUGGGCCCUGGGCUUCUGAGAGGGCCACAGGGUGGAGACUGAGUCACGAGGUGGAGGGCCAGUCCCAGGGACUCCAGGUGACCUCGUGUCGGCACCACACCCUUCUCCCAUGGGCAGUCCUGGGCGCCCCUUCCUGGCCUUGGGCCCAGCGGCCUGUGGCCUGACCCCAUCCACUCCUGCUUGGUUGU